CCUACGGGAGGCAGCAGUGAGGAAUAUUGGUCAAUGGACGAGAGUCUGAACCAGCCAAGUAGCGUGAAGGAUGACUGCCCUAUGGUUUGUAAACUUCUUUUAUAUGGGAAUAAAACGUUCCACGUGUGGGAUUUUGUAUGUACCAUAUGAAUAAGGAUCGGCUAACUCCGUGCCAGCAGCCGCGGUAAUACUGAGGAUCCGAGCGUUAUCCGGAUUUAUUUGGUUUAAAGGGAGCGUAGGUGGAUUUUUAAGUCAGUUGUGAAAGUUUGCGGCUCAACCGUAAAAUUGCAGUUGAAACUGGCAGUCUGGAGUACAGUAGAGGUGGGCGGAAGUCGUGGUGUAGCGGUGAAAUGCUUAGAUAUCACGAAGAACUCCGAUUGCGAAGGCAGUUCACUGGACUGCAACUGACACUGAGGCUCGAAAGUGUGGGUAUCAAACAGGAUUAGAUACCCUUGUAGUC
Molecule: ribosomal RNA, 460 nt
Filed under: uncultured bacterium
Lineage: Bacteria
Description: partial 16S ribosomal RNA
Rfam family: Bacterial small subunit ribosomal RNA
Source: RNAcentral